This 253-nucleotide ribosomal RNA is filed under the name uncultured bacterium. Its description in RNAcentral is "partial 16S ribosomal RNA". It matches the Rfam family "Bacterial small subunit ribosomal RNA", at positions 524 to 776 of the family's 1533-position model. The record is from RNAcentral.
UACGUAGGGUGCAGGCGUUAAUCGGAAUUACUGGGCGUAAAGCGUGCGCAGGUGGUUUGCUAAGACAGGCGUGAAAUCCCCGGGCUUAACCUGGGAACUGCGCUUGUUACUGGCAGGCUUGAGUGUGGCAGAGGGGGGUGGAAUUCCACGUGUAGCAGUGAAAUGCGUAGAGAUGUGGAGGAACACCGAUGGCGAAGGCAGCCCCCUGGGCUAACACUGACGCUCAUGCACGAAAGCGUGGGGAGCAAACAGG